AGUGGGGAAUAUUGGACAAUGGGGGCAACCCUGAUCCAGCAAUGCCGCGUGUGUGAAGAAGGUUUUCGGAUCGUAAAACUCUGUUGUUAGAGAAGAACAAGGAUGAGAGUAGAACGUUCAUCCCUUGACGGUAUCUAACCAGAAAGCCACGGCUAACUACGUGCCAGCAGCCGCGGUAAUACGUAGGUGGCAAGCGUUGUCCGGAUUUAUUGGGCGUAAAGCGAGCGCAGGCGGUUUCUUAAGUCUGAUGUGAAAGCCCCCGGCUCAACCGGGGAGGGUCAUUGGAAACUGGGAGACUUGAGUGCAGAAGAGGAGGGUGGAAUUCCAUGUGUAGCGGUGAAAUGCGUAGAUAUAUGGAGGAACACCAGCGGCGAAGGCGGCUCUCUGGUCUGUAACUGACGCUGAGGCUCGAAAGCGUGGGGAGCGAACAGGAUUAGAUACCCUGGUAGUCCACGCCGUAAACGAUGAGUGCUAAGUGUUGGAGGGUUUCCGCCCUUCAGUGCUGCAGCAAACGCAUUA
This 519-nucleotide ribosomal RNA is filed under the name uncultured Enterococcus sp. Its description in RNAcentral is "bacterial SSU rRNA". It matches the Rfam family "Bacterial small subunit ribosomal RNA", at positions 353 to 862 of the family's 1533-position model. The record is from RNAcentral. Lineage: Bacteria; Bacillati; Bacillota; Bacilli; Lactobacillales; Enterococcaceae.